AGCGGGAAUAGCUCAGUUGGUAGAGCACGACCUUGCCAAGGUCGGGGUCGCGAGUUCGAGUCUCGUUUCCCGUUG
RNAcentral lists this transfer RNA (75 nucleotides) under Escherichia coli. RNAcentral describes it as "tRNA-Gly". It matches the Rfam family "tRNA". Rfam says of the family: Transfer RNA (tRNA) molecules are approximately 80 nucleotides in length. Their secondary structure includes four short double-helical elements and three loops (D, anti-codon, and T loops). Lineage: Bacteria; Pseudomonadati; Pseudomonadota; Gammaproteobacteria; Enterobacterales; Enterobacteriaceae. The record is from RNAcentral.